RNAcentral lists this ribosomal RNA (372 nucleotides) under uncultured organism. Its description in RNAcentral is "bacterial SSU rRNA". It matches the Rfam family "Bacterial small subunit ribosomal RNA", at positions 526 to 896 of the family's 1533-position model. The record is from RNAcentral.
CGGAGGGGGCCAGCGUUGUUCGGAAUCAUUGGGCGUAAAGGGCGCGUAGGCGGCUUGGUAAGUCCGUUGUGAAAUCCCUCGGCUCAACCGAGGAACUGCGACGGAUACUGCUUGGCUUGAGUCCCGGAGAGGGUAGCGGAAUUCCCAGUGUAGCGGUGAAAUGCGUAGAUAUUGGGAGGAACAUCGGUGGCGAAGGCGGCUACCUGGACGGGUACUGACGCUGAUGCGCGAAAGCUAGGGGAGCAAACAGGAUUAGAUACCCUGGUAGUCCUAGCUGUAAACGAUGGGCACUUGGUGUUGCGGGUAUCGACCCCUGCAGUGCCGAAGCUAACGCAUUAAGUGCCCCGCCUGGGGAGUACGGUCGCAAGGCUG